GGGUAUAGUUCAGUUGGUAGAACGACGGUCUCCAAAACCGUGGGUCGCGGGUUCGAAUCCUCCUGCCC
Molecule: transfer RNA, 68 nt
Filed under: human gut metagenome
Rfam family: tRNA
About the family: Transfer RNA (tRNA) molecules are approximately 80 nucleotides in length. Their secondary structure includes four short double-helical elements and three loops (D, anti-codon, and T loops).
Source: RNAcentral